This 275-nucleotide ribosomal RNA is filed under the name uncultured bacterium. Its description in RNAcentral is "partial 16S ribosomal RNA". It matches the Rfam family "Bacterial small subunit ribosomal RNA", at positions 338 to 629 of the family's 1533-position model. The record is from RNAcentral.
CCUACGGGUGGCUGCAGUGGGGAAUCUUGCGCAAUGGGCGAAAGCCUGACGCAGCAAUGCCGCGUGAGGGAAGACGGCCUUAGGGUUGUAAACCUCUUUCAGCAGGGACGAAAACAGACGGUACCUGCAGAAGAAGCCCCGGCUAACUACGUGCCAGCAGCCGCGGUAAUACGUAGGGGGCGAGCGUUGUCCGGAAUCAUUGGGCGUAAAGAGCGUGUAGGCGGACUGGAAGGUCUGGUGUGAAAGCCCGGGGCUCAACCCCGGAGGGUCACUGG